This 255-nucleotide ribosomal RNA is filed under the name uncultured bacterium. RNAcentral describes it as "partial small subunit ribosomal RNA". It matches the Rfam family "Bacterial small subunit ribosomal RNA", at positions 26 to 285 of the family's 1533-position model. The record is from RNAcentral.
AGGACGAACGCUGGCGGCGUUGCUUAACACAUGCAAGUCGAGCGGAAAGGCCCUUCGGGGUACUCGAGCGGCGAACGGGUGAGUAACACGUGAGUAAUCUGCCCCUAGCUCUGGGAUAGCUCCGGGAAACCGGGAUUAAUACCGGAUACGACCACUUUAGACAUCUGUUGUGGUGGAAAGAAUUUUGGCUAGGGAUGAGCUCGCGGCCUAUCAGCUUGUUGGUGGGGUAACGGCCUACCAAGGCGACGACGGGUA